Molecule: ribosomal RNA, 253 nt
Filed under: uncultured bacterium
Lineage: Bacteria
Description: partial 16S ribosomal RNA
Rfam family: Bacterial small subunit ribosomal RNA
Source: RNAcentral
UACGUAGGGUGCGAGCGUUGUCCGGAAUUACUGGGCGUAAAGAGCUCGUAGGUGGUUUGUCGCGUCGUUUGUGUAAGUCCACGGCUUAACUGUGGGAUGGCAGCGAUACGGGCAUAACUUGAGUGCUGUAGGGGAGACUGGAAUUCCUGGUGUAGCGGUGAAAUGCGCAGAUAUCAGGAGGAACACCGAUGGCGAAGGCAGGUCUCUGGGCAGUAACUGACGCUGAGGAGCGAAAGCAUGGGUAGCGAACAGG